AGGGGCCCAUGGCUUCGGCAGUCUCAGGGAAGGGGAGGCGGCGGGUUCCGGCCAUUUUCAGCUUGGGUGGAGCUAAGUUUGGAAUCUUGUUACCUGGAGGGG
Molecule: unclassified non-coding RNA, 102 nt
Organism: Carlito syrichta (Philippine tarsier)
Lineage: Eukaryota; Metazoa; Chordata; Mammalia; Primates; Tarsiidae
Source: Ensembl